RNAcentral lists this ribosomal RNA (575 nucleotides) under Glucitozyma multigemmis. Its description in RNAcentral is "LSU rRNA". It matches the Rfam family "Eukaryotic large subunit ribosomal RNA", at positions 37 to 618 of the family's 3401-position model. Lineage: Eukaryota; Fungi; Ascomycota; Pichiomycetes; Serinales; Debaryomycetaceae. The record is from RNAcentral.
AGCAUAUCAAUAAGCGGAGGAAAAGAAACCAACAGGGAUUGCCUUAGUAACGGCGAGUGAAGCGGCAAAAGCUCAAAUUUGAAAUCUGGCACUUUCAGUGUCCGAGUUGUAAUUUGAAGAAGGUAACUUUGGAGUUGGCUCUUGUCUAUGUUCCUUGGAACAGGACGUCACAGAGGGUGAGAAUCCCGUGCGAUGAGAUGUCCAACUCUAUGUAAAGUGCUUUCGACGAGUCGAGUUGUUUGGGAAUGCAGCUCUAAGUGGGUGGUAAAUUCCAUCUAAAGCUAAAUAUUGGCGAGAGACCGAUAGCGAACAAGUACAGUGAUGGAAAGAUGAAAAGAACUUUGAAAAGAGAGUGAAAAAGUACGUGAAAUUGUUGAAAGGGAAGGGCUUGAGAUCAGACUUGGUAUUUUGCGAUCCUUUCCUUUUUGGUUGGGUCCUCGCAGCUUACUGGGCCAGCAUCAGUUUGGAUGGUAGGAUAAUAACAUUGGAAUGUGGCUCUGCUUCGGUGGAGUGUUAUAGACUUUGUUGAUACUGCCUAUCUAGACUGAGGACUGCGUCUUGACUAGGAUGUGCAA